Molecule: long non-coding RNA, 7499 nt
Organism: Homo sapiens (human)
Lineage: Eukaryota; Metazoa; Chordata; Mammalia; Primates; Hominidae
Exons: 3
Source: RefSeq, a predicted model, not a curated record
UUAUCUUUUAUUUAUGAUUAAGUAAAUUAUUCAUUAUCAAUUUUUAAAAUAAAAUUUUAGAUGAAUAAAUAUCUUUUCAGCUGUGCAAGCCAUAUAGUCCACCUUGACUAUUCAACUCUGCCACUGUAGCACAAAAGCGGCCUUCGACAAGCCCUAAAGGAAUGAGCACGCUUGGGUUCCAAUAAGUCUUUAUGGACACUGAAACGUGAAUUUCAUGUAACUUUCACAGGUCAUGAUAUAUUGCUCUUCCUUUGUUUUUUUUCAACCAUUUAAAUGUGUGAAUAGCAUUCUUAGGUUGUGGGCCAGGCAGAAUCAAGUGGCGGGAUUGGUCUAGACCAUACUUGUCCAACCCAGGGCACGUGGGCUGUGCAUUAGCCCAGGAUGGCUUUGAAUGCAGCCCGAUACGAAUUUGUAAACUUUUUUAGGGCAUUGUGAUUUUCUUUCUUUCUCUUUUUAGCUCAUCAGCUAUCGUCAGUGUUAGUGUAUCUUAUGUGUGGCCCAAGACAAUUCUUCUUCCAGUGUGGCCCAGGGAAGCCAAAAGAUUUUGGACACCCUUAGCCUAGACCCUAGAUCCAAGAUCAAAACUGAUCCAAUCAAAGAUAGUGAACAUUACUCCCAGGAUGUCUACUGAAAAGUCUGGGAAAGAGUCAUCCUCUCUCUGUCGAAGCUGCUGAGCAGUAAGGAUGUGUUUUGCAAAUUCCAGGGGCUAAGAUGGGAGAGGCCCUGCUUAAGAAUGAAGUCCCCUCCACCACAGCACAGCAGAUCCCAGAGAUAGAGAGACGUGGGGGGUGUGGGGUGUGGCAGAUUCAGCCAUGCCUGUAGCUUAGUAAAUUCUCUUGUGAGUGUGUGUGUCUUUUUUUUUUUUUUUGAGAUGGAGUUUCGCUCUUGUUGCCCAGGCUGGAGCGCAAUGGUGCGAUCUCUGCUCACUGCAACCUCUGCCUCCUGGGUUCAAGUGAUUCUCCUGCCUCAGCCUCUCAAGUAGCUGGGAUUACAGGUGCCUGCCACCAUGCCUGGCUAAUUUUUUUGUACUUUUAUAGAGAUGGGGUUUCACCACGUUGGCCAGGCUGGUCUCGAACUCCUGAUCUCAGGUGAUUCACCUCCCUCGGCCUCCCAAAGUGCUGCGAGUACAGGUGUGAGCCACUAAGCCCAGCCAAUUCCCUUGUUUUUGCUCAUGCUCAUUUGAGUUGGGUUUCUGUCACUCGCAACCCAGAGUCCUGAAUAAUACAGUGAGGAUUUCAGAGGAGGCGUCCAGGCAAGAUAAGCUGGAGGAGGCAAUGAAGGACAAGCAGGGCCCACCCGAGCCUCAGCACAGUCGCUUGUCAUUUCCCUGUCUCGGUUUCCCAUUCAGUGGGCAAAAUGCUCUCUUAGCUCAGAGUCCAGAUAGGGAUGUAUUCAUAUUUUUGUAAAACCUCGGCGGUAGGCUCAAUAUUUCUUGUCAGAUUGAGAGCACUAAUAAGCAGUGCUGUGUAUUAGAUGGAAUAAAUCAAUGCCUUCAUGGUGGUGUGCUGGCCAGGCCGCUGAGAAACUGCUGAACGGAAAGCAACACACAGCACCCACAUCUUCAUUUUAUGUGACAGAGGGAAACUUCGACAUUUUUCUUUAUCAAAGGCAGAACUGACCAAUGCUGUUGGCUGGGCUCUGCCAGGUCAGGGAAGGGAAGAGUACAGGAAGGGAGGCGUCCCACUUUCUUGGGAGCAGCAGAAGCAGCAGCAGCAGCAGCAGCAGAGGAACUGGGAUUGCCAGGAAUUCUCCAGAACAGUUAGAAGCAGUUCCAUCCUGGGUGGAGGACAACCGAGGGUUUUCUCUGUGAUCCAUCAGGGAUGAGCCUCUGGAUCCAGCUGUACCUGAAGCCAAAUGGGCAUAAGCAAAAACAAGGGAAUGGGCAUGAGCAAAAACAAGAGAAUUGGGCAGGCGUGGUGGCUCACGCCUGUAAUCCCAGCACUUUGGGAGGCCAAGGCAGGUGGCUCACCUGAGGUCAGGAGUUCGAGACCAGCCUGGCCAACAUGGUGAAACCCUGUCUCUACUAAAAGUGGGAGAGAGCGCCUGGGUCAUCAGAUGGGAUGCACAGCAUGAAGAGGUAGAGAAGGGCUGGAGCUGGGGGAACAGGCACAUCCUGACAUUGAUGGGUGAGGUAAGAAUGAGGCUGCAGGGACUGCCUGGUGCUCAGUCCACCUGAACAUGACAGCAUCCACAUUUCUCCCUUGAUAUGGUUUGGCUAUGUCCCCACCCAACUCUCAUGUUGAACUGUAAUCCCCAGUGUUGUGGGAGGGUCCUGGUGGAAGGUGAUUAGAUCAUGGUGGUGGUUUCUAAUGGUUUGGCACCAUCCCCCUGGUGCUGUCUUGAGAUAGAGUUCUCAUGAAAUCUGGUUGUUUAAAAGUGUGUAGCACUCCCCCUUCACUCUCUUUCUCUCUCUCCUGCUCUGCCAUGGGAAGACUGGCUUCCCAUUCGCCUUCCUCAUGAUUGUAAGUUUCCUGAGGCCUCCCAGCCGUGCCUCUUGUACAGCCUGCAGAACUGUGGGUCAAUUAAACCUCCUUUCUCCAUACAUUGCCCAGUCUCAGGUAGUUCUUUACAACAGUGUGAGAAUGGACUAAUACGCCCCUUCUCUCUUGGCUCACUCUGCAGGCUCCUGAGGGCUGGGCACCUGACUCAGGCCUGACAAUUAAAGCACAGCAUCCCUUGUUCUCUGUGAUACAUUCAGGGAUGAACACGUCACCCAAGUUGGGCCAAGGAGAGUUCUCCUAGGACCUUUGCUGGGACUGUCAUUUUUCCCUCUGGCCCAAGGUUUAUAGAACAUAAGUCUGGAGCUUCUCAUGGCCACCUGCUACGGCUCAGGGAAAGCCUGUCUGUGAGUGAAGCCAACACAAAGGAAGAAAGAGUCUAGAAAAAGAGAGACAGAUUCAUGAUGACACGACUUGAGCCCCUGGAUCCAGCUGUGCCUGAAGCCAGCUACCUUUGGCCUUUUUAAUAAUAUGUAGCUAUAACUACUCCCCCAACACCUGUUAUUAUUAAACCAUUUUCCCCACCCUUAACUGUGAUUACUAUAGCCACAAAGAAGAAAGAACUGAUUACUAUAGCCACAAAGAAGGCUCAUGUGUUGACCACUUGCUAGUGGGGGCUAGUGGCUAGUGCUGCUUUUACCUGCUUCCCACUAGCAAAGCCUAGGGCCUGGGACUGCCCCUGAACAGGGCUGGGGCAGACAUGACCUUUGGACGAAGUCUAAACUCAGGUUGGCUCAUAUGGUCCUUCACUAUCCAGUGUCUGCCUGUCUUUCCAGGCUUACCUUCUAUGCUCUGGCCACACUAGCCUCCUCUGAUCUCUGAAAAUUUGUCACGCUUCUUUGACAAUCAAGACCUUCACACACAUCAUUCUGUCUGCCUGUAACAGUCGUCUCUCCUCCAGUCUGCCCCUCUCACAAAUCCACCUCCCUACCCCAAUAAACACAUGCACACAGGACAAGGGACAAGCUGGCAAACUGUUACUCUUUUCUUUUUUUCAGAGACAGAGUCUUGCUCUGUCACCCAGGCUGGAGUACAGCGGCACAAUCAUAGCUCACUGCAGCCUUGAACCCCUGAGCUCAAGAGAUCCUCCUGCCUCAGCCUCCCGAGUAGCUGGGAUUAUAGGCAUGUGCCAUCACAACCAGCUGUUACUCAUUUCUUCUCUUGGCUUAGCUGUCACUUUCCCGAGAAAGUUCCUGUGUUGUCCUCCAUCUCUGUUACAUGUUCCUAAAUAAUUCUGCACUUCUUUUCUUAUCCUAGCACAAUUUCUCAUAUCCACUAGAUACUGAUUAAAUAUGUGUUGAGGGAAUCAAUGAACAAGGAACCAUAAAGUCAUCCAUAGCUCUGUUAUUCAUGCCUAUCAUGGCUCAAAGGGACUUGGGGCAUGGUCUUCUCGUGAGUCAGUCACGACACUAUUAGCUGUCUACUCAAUUUCCAGGCUCUCCUUUCCUGCUAACAGAGCCCCUGCUUGUUCAGAGUAACAGUAUACUCAGCCCCAGGUGAAGGAUCAUGAACUAAUGGCUUAAGCCACCCAGGAUAUCCUGUUCCUCGCUUUCUCAGCCUCUCUUGUAGCAAGGGUGGCCAUGUGACCCUGUUCUGGCCAGUGAGACUUAAGUAGAAGUCUCUCGGGAGAUCUCCUGAUUAAAGCAGUACAAAUGUUGCUCUCGCUAUCUCUUCUGCCUUCUUCCUGCCUGAAAUGGGAAUGUGGAGCUUGGAGCAUCUGCAGCCAUCUUGUGACCAUGAAGUAACAAACCACCAACCUCUGGAUGCCAACUUGGAAAGAUGGAAAGAGACUGGGUUCCUGAUGAUGCUUUUGGACUGUUGUACCCGUCCAGUGCUACCAACCACAGCAUUUUUUUAUUUAGUGGGGGAAAAAAACAUAGUUUAAGCAACUUUUAGUCAAGGUUUCUGUAACCUUCAGCUAAAAGCAUUUAUAAUGGAUGUAGUUUCUUCCUUUCUUGGGGGGACUAUGGACUGCUACCGCAACUUAAAAUUGCCAACGUGGCUGCCCCAGGGUUCAGGAAUCUCUCCUCUUGGUUCUGGGACUCCGUUGAGCAGAGAAUCAAUCCCAGAGCUCAUGCACCCUCCUCUUAGGCCAGGAAGGAUCUAAUUAUCCAGUGAUUGUAGCGAUUAUUUCAUCCAAUUGAUCGAUAAUAGCUGUAAUUUUUAAACACGGUUUUCCAUUAAUAAUUUGCAACAUAUUUAUUGUUUAUACUCAAAUAAAAUAGGACGAAAAUAAAACAAUUGAGAUGCAAUCUCCAGAGUCCUGAAUAUUUACACAGUGCAGUGAUACAUGUUUUAGCCGAGAUAUUUUAUGUUGUUUUCUCCUUUUUAAAAGAGAAGAUGUUUAUUAAUAUAAAUGAUCACAAUGAUCACAAUUCAGAAAGUUCCCUGAACUGUGACUAUGUUGCCAGGGAUGGCAUAGAGCAUUUGUCGAUUGAUUGUGUAUGCCAAGGGAUGGCAUAGAGAAUUCGGUGAUUGAUUGUGUAUGUCUGCCACAGGCAGGGGAGGGCUGAGUUAUGCCCUGUGUGCUAGUAUUUGUCAUCUCUGGCUUAAGCAUUGGACCUCUGUUUCCAGCAAUGUUAUUUAACUUUAGUCGUCUUCCCAAGAUGACAGGAAGGGCCACAGCCAACUUUUAUGCAAAUGGAGAAGGAAUAAAAGAAACCCCAGUCUAUUUCUAGGGUUUCCUAUGACAACAUGUGAAACCCCAAGUUAGGGGCUCCUGUUCCACCUUAGCCAGGGGAUCCUUGAGUGGAGAGUUUCUCAAUCCCAUAGACAUGCCCACUCAUUACUGGUUCCCAAACUUUGAAGGUAAGACAGCUGCUUUAUUAAAAAAUUGAAGCUUGCUGGCAGAAAGGCCCUUGUGAACAUUCUCCAAAGGGCCAGUGGCGGCUGCUUACCAGCCUCUGGGGCCUGCUUCGAGGGCUCCUCUCUGGGACCCACUCCCUCUUUCCCAACAACCCUCCUCUUGAACCCAGCUCAGCCCUAAGCAAUUUUACUGUCUGUCAGCCUAGUGUGCAGGGGGAGGCAAAUAAAAUCCCUGCCCCUAAUGGAAAAGCAAACGUCGCAUGUUCUCACUCAUAAGUGGAGGCUAAGCUACGAGGACGCAAAGGCCUAAGAAUGAUAUGAUGGACUUUGGGGACUCAGGGCAAAGGGUGGGAAGCAGGUGAGGGAUAAAAGGCUACACGUUGGGUUCAGUGUACACUGCUCGGGUGAUGGGUGCACCAAAAUCUCACAAAUCACCACUAAAGAACGUACUCAUGCAACCAAAUGCCACCUGUACCCCAAACACUUACGGAAAGUUUAAAAAACCAAAACACAAAAAAACAAAAUCCCUGCCCCCAGAAUGCUCAGAGUCAGCCUUGAGUUUUUUCAAGUCAAUCACUACUGGGUUGGGUCCCUGCAUGACAGAAAGUUACCUUAGCCAAUGGAUGCCUCAGGACUGGGCCCAUCCCUCUCUUUUCCCAGGUGAGGGGAAAGAGGAAAGGCAUCCAACAUCCACAGAACUGCCUGAUGUGCGCAGCCUCCCGCACAUCAUCUGAUUCCGCCCUCACGGCAGCUCCAAUAGGUGGGGAUUGAUUCCAAGAGCACAAACACAGACACUGGGACUCGGAGAGCUUGGCUAACCCCACAUCACACAGCCGCCGAGCCAGGAUCUGAACCCCAUUUGGUCUGACCCCAAGUCUUCAUUCUUUUCGCUGCACCAACUUGUUGUCCAUGAAAAUCUGAGUGGGUGAGAAGAGCAAAGGCGGCCUGAAUUCUUUUAAGCCCAGAUUCCCAGCCAGGCUUACCAAUGGGAAACAGGAAAUUCCAGGUUCAUCCUUCAGCAGGUGCAUGUUGGGCAUGUGGGGAUACCAGGUUCUGUAAAAACCGAGAUGAAAAAAAAUCCAGCCGCUACUGGAGAGGAACUUAACAGUCUCAGUGGGGGCAUGCAUGUGAAACCGACAGAACCACUGACAUGGGAGGGAAACGGCCAGCGCGGGACCGAGGCUGAGAAGGCACAGAGGAGGGAGGCGACACCCAUGGGGAACGGGCCAUCAGCCGCCCCCAGGAGCAGCAAGGCCGCUCUGUAGAAUUUUCCAGAAAUUGCAACCUGGCUCUCAGGAGGUCUCAGAGUGUUGAGGAGGGUGGCUCAGGCUUGAGUGCAAUUGCAGAAGCAGGCAAUGACUCAUCCUGUGUUUAUCAGAAACUCUACAACACAAAAAUCCACUAAAAUAAAUCCAUAUGGCCAACGCCAGAGCGCCUGACAAUGAGACAGAUUCUUGCCUUUUACGAACAUCCGCAGACAAUUAGCACACCCUCCUGGUCACAUGCUGGGAAAUUUUCCCUUCUUUCCCUUUAUUCCUGCUUUUGCAAUCUGGGAGGAACAACAAAAGGAGUCUCUCUGUGCCUCUGUCCCUCAGAUGGGGGUGCACGGGCUUCCACCAGCAAAACAUUUCCAUGUGGCUCUCGAUGGGCAGGGGACUCAGCGGCCAGCAUGGACCUGCUUUUCUAAAACUUGGGUCUGAGUCCAGGUCCAGCCCCUUCUUUGCUAUGUGGACUUUGAGGAGCAAUUGAAUCUCUGUGUCUUGUUACCAUUCAGCCAGCUGUCCACCAAUUCAGAGCGUGUUCACUGAGCACCUGCUACGUGCUGGCCUUGGGUUAAGUGCUGGAGAUAUCAAUGUGCCCUCCUGGAGCGUGUGGACCAGAGAGACAGAAUUAAACCACUAACAACAAAUAAGAGUGAGGGCUGUGGUCUCAGAGGCCUUGCAGUGGACACAUGGACAGAAAGUCCAGUCCUGGGGAGUCAAUGACACGCAAGAUAAAUCUCUGAGCAGCAAGGACAGUCAAGAUGCAAGCGUCGCUCCUUGGACUCUGAAACCUGUGUCAUUUCCUCCCUGCUUUGCAGUGCUGCCCACACAACAGCUGUUGGGUGCCGGGAAUUAGGAAUCCGGAUUCAGAGCCUGCCCAUGUGUGGCCGAGGCGACGGGCCUUCCCAGGUGUGGUGCCACAUGCCCAGAAGGC